This 429-nucleotide ribosomal RNA is filed under the name Acidobacteriota bacterium. Its description in RNAcentral is "Acidobacteria bacterium partial 16S ribosomal RNA". It matches the Rfam family "Bacterial small subunit ribosomal RNA", at positions 355 to 776 of the family's 1533-position model. The record is from RNAcentral. Lineage: Bacteria; Pseudomonadati; Acidobacteriota.
GUGGGAAUUUUGGACAAUGGGGGAAACCCUGAUCCAGCCAUCCCGCGUGUGCGAUGAAGGCCUUCGGGUUGUAAAGCACUUUUGGCAGGAAAGAAACGUCACGGGUUAAUACCCCGUGAAACUGACGGUACCUGCAGAAUAAGCACCGGCUAACUACGUUCCAGCAGCCUCGGUAAUACGUAGGGUGCAAGCGUUAAUCGGAAUUACUGGGCGUAAAGCGUGCGCAGGCGGUUCGGAAAGAAAGAUGUGAAAUCCCAGAGCUCAACUUUGGAACUGCAUUUUUAACUACCGGGCUAGAGUGUGUCAGAGGGAGGUGGAAUUCCGCGUGUAGCAGUGAAAUGCGUGGAUAUGCGGAGGAACACCGAUGGCGAAGGCAGCCUCCUGGGUUAACACUGACGCUCAUGCACGAAAGCGUGGGGAGCAAACAGG